UUCAUCUUCCCUCACUAGUCAUCAUUUGCAUAUUCUCUUUUUUAAAGUGUUCUUUGUCCAGAUAAUUUUUAUUGCUGAUUUUUUAAAGCUAUGCUUCAUAUAUUCUGAUAAGAGUAUUACAUCUAAUCUUAGUUUGCUUUUAACUGGAGGUUGUGAAGAAUUUUCUGUAAUUCUUUUUCCCCUAAGAAAAAGUGUUUCUAGUUUUAGCCUUGACACUUAUGUCUGUGAUUAACAAGUUAAUUUUUGUUUGUGGCACAUGGCAGAGAUCAGAGUUUGUAUUUCGACGCCUUUAAUGCUCAUUAAAUGGUUGCAAUCUGAUUUGUUGACAUGCAUUUGUUUCAACAUCAGUUUGAACCACUAAUUGACAGUAUAUUUCUGCACCUGUUCCUUGACUUGAUAUCUGUAGACAUAACUUUUUUUCAGCCUACUUUUAAUAAGGGUUCAACCUCUCCUCUAGCUCACCACCCAGCAGAGGUAGUGGAAGAGAACAGUUAUUAGGCUAUGGGGGAAGUGGAUCUGUUCAGCAAGAGUUCUUUGGGGGCGAGCUCAGUCUUCCUUGGCAGCAGCCCAGUCCCAUGGCAAACACCAAAUGUGACUCAGCAGCUGCAGACCAGUCCUCUAGGCAGGCAGACACCAGGCAUGAACCAGCAACUGUAAUUCAAUCCUGAAGAAACCAAGGCUCACCAACUGGCCUGAGGAGAGGCCGCAGAAGCAGCAAGCUGCCUAAGGAACCUCAUGAGCAGUUCUUUGGCCAGUUUCUCUCAAUGGCAUCACUAGUUGAGAUCAACAAUGCUAUGUAGGGCAAACCAUACACCAACAAAUACACGCAUGUCACUGUAUAGCGAGGUGGAGAAAAUCAGACCAAGGCUCAGUGCUGUCUCCCACGCUCUGUGGGGUCAUAGUUAUACUCCUUCAUGGCAGGUCCUUUCACGUGCUUGCUAUAUCAAAACAUCCUUUCACCUGUGUGGCCUCAGGAAAACAUUCUUUUCACAUGUCUGUUUUAGCAAGACAUCCCUUCACCUGUGUGUCCCAGCAAAACAUCAUUUGAUGUAACUUAACUUUCCAAAGAAACUAGAAGUUUCCACUUCACAUAUCUAUCUACAUAUUCUUAAGUACAAUACAGCUCUAUCCCAGAUAUUGUGACUUGUGAUCUUGUGAUUCGGUAGUGUUGUACUUACAGGUUUAUUCACAUUUUUCAAGCUGCAGUCUUCUUGGAACUUAUAUGUUGAUUCUAAAAUGUGUAUGGAGGGCUUCAGUGACAGCUCAGUUUGUAAAGUGCUUGCUGCAUCUGCAACCAUGAUGACUUGAGUUCAACCCCCAGCCCCACAUAAAAAGCCAGGCAUGGUGGUAGGUACCUAUGAUCCCAAGGGCUGGAGAGGCAGAAGCCAGUAGACCUCUGGGACUGCUUAGGCAGCCAGCUCAGCCUAACAGACAAAUCCAGACCCAGUGAGAGGCUCUGUCUCAAAAACGCAAAGGGAACAGCUUUGGAGGUGCAAUACCCAAGGGUGACGUGUGGCCUCCGUGCUCAACACUUGAGCACAUGUACCUGCACAUACCUGAAUACACACUUGUAUGUAAACACACAGAUAAAAUGGCUGGAGUGAUGGCUUAGUGGUUAAGAGUGCUUGCUACUUUCCUAGAGGGCCUGAGUUUGGUUCCCAGCACCCGUGUCCAAGCUGCUCAGAACCAUCUGCAACUCUAGUUCCAGAGUAUCUGGCCUCUAAGGGCACCUGCACAUGUGUUUGCAUAUACACUCAUAAAUAAAAAUAAAAUAAAUCUUUAAAAAUGUCGCGCCCGCUCUCGGCCAGCAAGAACGACGCGACCACCAGUCCUUCUAACAGCAGUUUAUUCAGUCCUGAUUCUUCUUGUUUAUAUCUCCCCUGAACCCUGGGCCUCUCACUCCUUUUAUACUCUCUCUCAUCCACGCACCGCAGGCCACGCCCCCUCGCCAGUCACGAGGCUUCAGCUAAUCAGGGCAGCAGGGGCAAAUCUCCACCAAAUUGGAUUCACCUGUAUCCUGGUACACCUGCGCAGCACUCAAGAUGUUUGUGUCUUAUAUGAGGAAGUCAGGUGCAAGUCAUAUGACUUAGCUGCAGUCCCUGGCGCCUUUGGGACUGCCGCCACACCCGCUCCCCACAUAAAAAUGUAUAUUGAAAGAUGAAAAGACUCAGAAUGACUAAUACCAACAAUAUAGGUUUCAAGACUUUAAAAUGAUAUGCCAGUCAAUACAGGGAUGUGUUGUCAUUGGGGCAGAAAUAUAGAUCAGUAGAACAGAACAAGGAAUCUGGAAAUAGGUCCACAUCUAUUCAGCCAGAUGAUCUUGAUGAGAGUACUAAUGUAACCCAAUGGGGGAAAAGAUAGUAUUUUUACUUAGUAAAUGAUGCUGAGGGUUUAGGAAUGCACUUCAGUAUAGAGGAGCUCUUAUCUAGUGUGCAUGAGGGCCUUAGUUUAAUACCUAGCACCACAAAAACAAAGGGUGUUAGAACAGUGGCCUUUGUGCCUGGUGUUGGUUGCGCACACCUUUAAUCCCAGCACUUGGGAAGCAGAGGCAGGUAGAUCUCUGUAAGUUCGAAGCCAGCCUGGUCUACACAGAGAGAGAGAGAGUUCCAGAACAGCCAGGGCUACACAGAGAAAAGAAAAGAAAAGAAAAGAAAAGAAAAGAAAA
Molecule: long non-coding RNA, 2665 nt
Filed under: Mus musculus (house mouse)
Lineage: Eukaryota; Metazoa; Chordata; Mammalia; Rodentia; Muridae
Description: lncRNA-HSVIII
Source: RNAcentral